This 253-nucleotide ribosomal RNA is filed under the name uncultured bacterium. RNAcentral's name for it is "partial 16S ribosomal RNA". It matches the Rfam family "Bacterial small subunit ribosomal RNA", at positions 524 to 776 of the family's 1533-position model. The record is from RNAcentral.
UACAGAGGUCCCAAGCGUUGCUCGGAAUCACUGGGCGUAAAGCGCACGUAGGCGGACUCUUAAGUCGGUGGUGAAAUCCUGGAGCUCAACUCCAGAACUGCCUUCGAUACUGAGAGUCUCGAGUCCGGGAGAGGUGAGUGGAACUGCGAGUGUAGAGGUGAAAUUCGUAGAUAUUCGCAAGAACACCAGUGGCGAAGGCGGCUCACUGGCCCGGUACUGACGCUGAGGUGCGAAAGCGUGGGGAGCAAACAGG